GCUCGAAUGGCGAAAUGGCAGACGCAGUUGACUCAAAAUCAACCGAGAAAUCAUGUGGGUUCGAGUCCCACUUCGAGCACCA
RNAcentral lists this transfer RNA (82 nucleotides) under Ureaplasma diversum. RNAcentral describes it as "tRNA-Leu (CAA) (tRNA-Leu-CAA-1-1)". It matches the Rfam family "tRNA". From Rfam's summary of the family: Transfer RNA (tRNA) molecules are approximately 80 nucleotides in length. Their secondary structure includes four short double-helical elements and three loops (D, anti-codon, and T loops). Further hydrogen bonds mediate the characteristic L-shaped molecular structure. tRNAs have two regions of fundamental functional importance: the anti-codon, which is responsible for specific mRNA codon recognition, and the 3' end, to which the tRNAs corresponding amino acid is attached (by aminoacyl-tRNA synthetases). tRNAs cope with the degeneracy of the genetic code in two manners: having more than one tRNA (with a specific anti-codon) for a particular amino acid; and 'wobble' base-pairing, i.e. permitting non-standard base-pairing at the 3rd anti-codon position. The record is from RNAcentral. RNAcentral also lists the same sequence under 1 other name. Lineage: Bacteria; Bacillati; Mycoplasmatota; Mycoplasmoidales; Mycoplasmoidaceae.